This 778-nucleotide ribosomal RNA is filed under the name uncultured Neocallimastigales. Its description in RNAcentral is "partial large subunit ribosomal RNA". It matches the Rfam family "Eukaryotic large subunit ribosomal RNA", at positions 24 to 616 of the family's 3401-position model. Lineage: Eukaryota; Fungi; Neocallimastigomycota; Neocallimastigomycetes; Neocallimastigales. The record is from RNAcentral.
UUACGACUACAUAUCAGGCAUAUCAAUAAGCGGAGGAAAAGAAACUAACUAAGGAUUCCCUUAGUAACGGCGAGUGAAGCGGGAAGAGCUCAAAUUUGAAAUCUUCAAGGUUUUACCUUGGACGAAUUGUAGUUUAAAGAAGUGUUUUCUGUUGAAGUUUUGGUAAAAGUUCUUUGGAAUAGGACAUCAUAGAGGGUGAGAAUCCCGUAUUUGACCAUUAUUUUCAGCUGUGUGAUACACUUUCAAAGAGUCGGAUUGUUUGGGAAUGCAGUCCAAAAUGGGUGGUAAAUUUCAUCUAAAGCUAAAUAUUGGCGAGAGACCGAUAGCGAACAAGUACCGUGAGGGAAAGAUGAAAAGAACUUUGAAAAGAGAGUUAAACAGUACGUGAAAUUGUCAAAAGGGAAGCGUUUGACACCAGUGUUGCUUUUCUCGAAAAUCAAUUAAAAAUAGUUGGAUUUUGUGUUGUAUUGACCUUAACAGCUUGCUUCACUCUUUUCCAGCUUUUUUUAAUGCACUUUUCGUUUAAACAAGUCAACAUCAGUUUCUUUUGUUGUAAAAGGGUCAUUGGAAGGUGGCUUUCUCUUCGGAGAAAGUGUUUAUAGCCUUUGAUCUCUGCAAUCGAGAGACUGAGGUCUGCAGCGUAGAUCCUUCGGGGUUAGAUACAUUUGUGCUAAGCUACAGCUUUUCAUAGACAACUUGUUGACUAUGUUUAGUCUUGUGACUUACCCGCUUAUGCUAUUUUACCUACGCUUAGGAUGUUGAGCGCAUGUCUCUCUCU